RNAcentral lists this transfer RNA (73 nucleotides) under Camelus bactrianus (Bactrian camel). It matches the Rfam family "tRNA". From Rfam's summary of the family: Transfer RNA (tRNA) molecules are approximately 80 nucleotides in length. Their secondary structure includes four short double-helical elements and three loops (D, anti-codon, and T loops). RNAcentral also lists the same sequence under 3 other names. Lineage: Eukaryota; Metazoa; Chordata; Mammalia; Artiodactyla; Camelidae. The record is from Rfam by way of RNAcentral.
GAGGGUAUAGCUCAAGUGGUAGAGCACAAGCUUAGUGUGCACAAGGCCCUGGGUUCAAUCCCCAGUACCUCUC